CCUACGGGUGGCUGCAGUGGGGAAUAUUGGACAAUGGGCGAAAGCCUGAUCCAGCCAUGCCGCGUGUGUGAAGAAGGCCUUCGGGUUGUAAAGCACUUUCAGUGGGGAAGAAAGCCUUGGGGCUAAUACCCUCGAGGAAGGACAUCACCCACAGAAGAAGCACCGGCUAACUCCGUGCCAGCAGCCGCGGUAAUACGGAGGGUGCGAGCGUUAAUCGGAAUUACUGGGCGUAAAGCGCGCGUAGGUGGUCUGAUAAGCCGGUUGUGAAAGCCCCGGGCUCAACCUGGGAACGGCAUCCGGAACUGUCAGGCUAGAGGGCAGGAGAGGAAGGUAGAAUUCCCGGUGUAGCGGUGAAAUGCGUAGAGAUCGGGAGGAAUACCAGUGGCGAAGGCGGCCUUCUGGACUGACACUGACGCUGAGGUGCGAAAGCGUGGGUAGCAAACAGGAUUAGAUACCCCGGUAGUC
Molecule: ribosomal RNA, 465 nt
Filed under: Vreelandella stevensii
Lineage: Bacteria; Pseudomonadati; Pseudomonadota; Gammaproteobacteria; Oceanospirillales; Halomonadaceae
Description: partial 16S ribosomal RNA
Rfam family: Bacterial small subunit ribosomal RNA
Source: RNAcentral